Molecule: long non-coding RNA, 2473 nt
Organism: Gasterosteus aculeatus aculeatus (three-spined stickleback)
Lineage: Eukaryota; Metazoa; Chordata; Actinopteri; Perciformes; Gasterosteidae
Source: Ensembl
CCGAGGGUCACGCACCACCUGCGUGACGUCACCACCUUGAUUAGCGUAGCCCGACUAAACUGUUACAGCCGGUGUUUUGGAGUGAAACAAUUCGGUAACGCCGCGGCGGUUUGAUUCAACAACUUACCAGAUAAUCCAUGCGCUGUCCCGUCACAGCACCGCGAAACUGGCGCUGCGGUUCCUGCCGUUUUCUGUUGCUUCGCAGGUAGGUGUGACCACUGAUGUUCCAGACAGAAGACACUGGAUAAAGAGAAGAUGAAUGCAACAUCAUUCUGCAGCGACAGUAUGAAUCACAAGCCUGCUGAUGGCAUGCAAGCUGCAUACUGAAGAGAUUCCUGUUCCUCGGAGAACGCACUCGUCUUCAAUAUUUCAUGAACUGAAGUGGUAACUUGAUGUCCUCUGCACAGGUGUGGAGAUGUGGAGAACGCACACAAGAGUGUUUCCUCCAAUGUGCACAUUAGUCCAGUGUGAAUGUAUUAUAAAGUAGUGUCGUUUGACCUGACCAAUGGGAGAGGAGAGACCUCUGGUGGCCUCAGGUAAAACAUAUACUGUGGUGGAGUAACACAAUAGUUUACACUGUAUUAAUUUGGAAGAAGCGUUUUGUCCAUGUUGCCCCAAACACAAGCUAGUUCAGAGUCUUUCUUAGGGGUAUUUUGUCUGAGGGGGCGAGGAGUGGCAAAAUCUGCUCUCCCAAUUACUUGCAUGAUUAUAAAACGAGACGCUGAACUGUUAAAUGAAAUAUUGGUAAUUUUGGGUUACCAAUGACAUUUAGGAAAUCACGUUGGAAACUUUGGAUUGGCAUUUUCAAUAGUUAUUUGAGUGAAAAUAACUGAAAUUUUAAUGUUACAUCCACUUAUUCAUUUUGGUUUUGAUGAUGAAAAAGAGAUUAAAAGACCUCCAUAAGGGGGCAGUCUCUACUAGAAUAAAGGACUGAGGAAUAUUUUCAGCCUUUGUCAUGUCCAAAAUAUAGGGUAUAUGUAAGUGGUCUAAUUAUGCAGCGGAAUUUCAGCAUAGACCAAUUAUGUGGAUGGUUAGACAGUAGAUAUCAAAAAUAGUCCUAAUAAACAAGUUUACAUUAUGUUAAUGUAACUUUUGGAUUCUUUAGCCUGUACUAAAAUCAAAUGGCCACUUCAGACCGCAUCAUCAUCAUCAUUUUUCUAUUAACCACUCCACCCUCAAUUAACUCUCUCACUAGAAGAAAAAAAACAAGUUGUCAGACUUUUCCUGUCAUUGUGUUUUUUAUUGUGUUCUAUGUAGCUAUAUCUGUUUCUACACAGCCUUGCUGCAUAAAGAAUGGCCGCCAGUUUAAGAAAGGUCUCAACGGUAUUCUCUUCAACACCCAACACUCACAAGCAUGGAUUAUUGAUUGUGUGUUCUUUGCAGCCAUGCAUAUUUCUUGAUUGAAUGAAUGUUGAAUCUUUGUUUAGUCAUUAAGGAGACUCGGAGACUGAAUAACUGCCUGCUUAAAGGAUCAAUAGUGUGUGUAUUUUGAUUAGAUUUCUUGAUUUAUGUGACGUUCAUUCCUCAAAGGUGGACUAAAAUAGUCAUCUAGGUGAGUGCAGGGAGGCCUGGAGGCAGUCAUCGUGAUAUCAGGUUUUCCUUUCUUUCUUGGUAAAAGGUUGAGGGUUAACCUGACAUCAGACCUGCUGUCUGCAUCGCUGCAUCCUAAUCUUUAAUGGCUGAACCAGACGGGGCUUCUGGAAUACUGGCUAUAGCUUUAUAACCUGUUAAAACCACACGGAGCUUCAUGUUUUUUACAUUCUUCUAGAAGGACAUGCUUUCUAGAAGAACUUAUUGGCUGCUGAGUUUGUGAAGGACACUAUAUAACACUCAGUUAAAUAACAGCAGCAGAGCUGACUGCUUUUUCACACUUGAGCCAGCGUGAUGACAAGCCGGGCUGGAGCAACUGCUGAGGACACUCGGCGUCAUGUCCUCUCAUUCUUUCUGAGAACUUGCGGUGUUUCAGCAGCCUAAUGGGUAGUUAUAUUCUUCAAUUAAAAUGGUGGGGGUUGAAUUGUAGUUCCUCAGAAAGACGAAUUGAAUUAAAAUAAUUCAUCUUUCUUUUUCCGGGCACUAUUUUGUUCCAGAGAAAUAGCACUAAGACAUUAAUUUGUGGGAGAAAUAUGGGUAAUUGAAUGAAUUGGAUUGUGAAAAAUCCAUACAGGGGCCUCUGUAUUUCUUUAGUCUAAAAAUGGAUAUGGCUGUGUUACCAAAAUAGUUCAAUUCUAGUAUAUUCAGGGCUGUCAUUGAGAAUACUCUUUAAUAUUUUAGGGAAUCUUAAAGAAAUCAUGUGAAACCCAAGUGUACAUUCAAGCAUCAUGACUGUUAAGUGACUGCCUUUUUUGCUUUUAUUCAUCUUUUUUCUUUUUCCUUUUUUUUUUUUUUUAAACUUUUCCCAAAAAUAUAACAUUUACUCAAAAAGCCAACAAGCUCUACAAGCCUUUAAUUAUGUGUACUAGACCCAGUUAUAAAC